GACGAACGCUGGCGGCGUGCCUAAUACAUGCAAGUAGAACGCACAGUUUAUACCGUAGCUUGCUACACCAUAGACUGUGAGUUGCGAACGGGUGAGUAACGCGUAGGUAACCUGCCUGGUAGCGGGGGAUAACUAUUGGAAACGAUAGCUAAUACCGCAUAAUAUUGAUUAUUGCAUGAUAAUUGAUUGAAAGAUGCUAUUGCAUCACUACCAGAUGGACCUGCGUUGUAUUAGCUAGUAGGUGAGGUAACGGCUCACCUAGGCGACGAUACAUAGCCGACCUGAGAGGGUGAUAGGCCACACUGGGACUGAGACACGGCCCAGACUCCUACGGGAGGCAGCAGUAGGGAAUCUUCGGCAAUGGACGAAAGUCUGACCGAGCGACGCCGCGUGAGUGAAGAAGGUUUUCGGAUCGUAAAGCUCUGUUGUAAGAGAAGAACGGGUGUGAGAGUGGAAAGUUCACACUGUGACGGUAUCUUACCAGAAAGGGACGGCUAACUACGUG
Molecule: ribosomal RNA, 505 nt
Filed under: uncultured bacterium
Lineage: Bacteria
Description: partial 16S ribosomal RNA
Rfam family: Bacterial small subunit ribosomal RNA
Source: RNAcentral